GACGAACGCUGGCGGCGUGCUUAACACAUGCGAGUCGAACGAAAAUACCAAGCUUGCUUGGUUGAUUAGUGGCGAACGGGUGAGUAACACGUGAGUAACCUGCCCCUUACUUUCCUGGAUAACUGCUCGAAAGGGUAGCUAAUACGGGAUAUUCUGACCAGCCUGCAUGGGUUGGUUUGGAAAGGUUGUUUUUCUGGUAAGGGAUGGGCUCGCGGCCUAUCAGCUUGUUGGUGGGGUGAUGGCCUACCAAGGCUUUGACGGGUAGCCGGCCUGGGAGGGUGGGCGGUCACAAUUGGACUGGGGUCCGGCCCAGACGCCUACGGGAGGGAGCAGUGGGGAAUAUUGCACAAUGGGCGCAAGGCUGAUGCAGCGACGCCGCGUGAGGGAAGAAAGCCUUCGGGUUGUAAACCUCUUUCGUCAGGGAACAAGGCACUGCUUUUUUGGUGGUGUUGAGGGUACCUGGAUAAGAAGCGCCGGCUAACUACGUG
This 488-nucleotide ribosomal RNA is filed under the name uncultured bacterium. RNAcentral describes it as "partial 16S ribosomal RNA". It matches the Rfam family "Bacterial small subunit ribosomal RNA", at positions 28 to 507 of the family's 1533-position model. The record is from RNAcentral.